This 434-nucleotide ribosomal RNA is filed under the name uncultured Fibrobacter sp. Its description in RNAcentral is "partial 16S ribosomal RNA". It matches the Rfam family "Bacterial small subunit ribosomal RNA", at positions 341 to 792 of the family's 1533-position model. Lineage: Bacteria; Pseudomonadati; Fibrobacterota; Fibrobacteria; Fibrobacterales; Fibrobacteraceae. The record is from RNAcentral.
ACGGAAGGCAGCAGUGGGGAAUAUUGCACAAUGGGGGGAACCCUGAUGCAGCGAUGCCGCGUGGAGGAAGAAGGUUUUCGGAUUGUAAACUCCUGUCUUAAGGGACGAUAAUGACGGUACCUUAGGAGGAAGCUCCGGCUAACUACGUGCCAGCAGCCGCGGUAAUACGUAGGGAGCGAGCGUUGUCCGGAAUUACUGGGCGUAAAGGGAGCGCAGGCGGAGAUGCAAGCAGUCUGUACAAUACCGGGGCCCAACCCCGGACCUGCAGACUGGACUGUUUCUCUUGGAUAGUUCAGGGGCAAGCGGAAUUCCUGGUGUAGCGGUGGAAUGCGUAGAGAUCAGGAAGAACACCGGUGGCGAAGGCAGCUUGCUGGGGACUUAUCGACGCUCAUGCUCGAAAGUGCGGGUAGCAAACAGGAUUAGAUACCCUGGUA